This 253-nucleotide ribosomal RNA is filed under the name uncultured bacterium. RNAcentral's name for it is "partial 16S ribosomal RNA". It matches the Rfam family "Bacterial small subunit ribosomal RNA", at positions 524 to 776 of the family's 1533-position model. The record is from RNAcentral.
UACGGAGGAUCCGAGCGUUAUCCGGAUUUAUUGGGUUUAAAGGGAGCGUAGGUGGAUUGUUAAGUCAGUUGUGAAAGUUUGCGGCUCAACCGUAAAAUUGCGGUUGAAACUGGCAGUCUUGAGUACAGUAGAGGUGGGCGGAAUUCGUGGUGUAGCGGUGAAAUGCUUAGAUAUCACGAAGAACUCCGAUUGCGAAGGCAGCUCACUGGACUGCAACUGACACUGAGGCUCGAAAGUGUGGGUAUCAAACAGG